RNAcentral lists this ribosomal RNA (630 nucleotides) under uncultured bacterium. RNAcentral's name for it is "bacterial SSU rRNA". It matches the Rfam family "Bacterial small subunit ribosomal RNA", at positions 48 to 673 of the family's 1533-position model. The record is from RNAcentral.
UUUACACAUGCAAGUCGAACGGCAGCAUGGGCUUCGGCCUGAUGGCGAGUGGCGAACGGGUGAGUAAUGCAUCGGAACGCGUCCUGUAAUGGGGGAUAACCUACCGAAAGGUAGGCUAAUACCGCAUACGUCCUGUGGGAGAAAGCGGGGGAUCGUAAGACCUCGUGUUAUAGGAGCGGCCGAUGUCGGAUUAGCUAGUUGGUGGGGUAAAGGCCUACCAAGGCGACGAUCCGUAGCUGGUCUGAGAGGACGACCAGCCACACUGGGACUGAGACACGGCCCAGACUCCUACGGGAGGCAGCAGUGGGGAAUUUUGGACAAUGGGGGCAACCCUGAUCCAGCCAUGCCGCGUGAGUGAAGAAGGCCUUCGGGUUGUAAAGCUCUUUCGGCCGGGAAGAAAUCGCGCCAGCUAAUAUCUGGUGUGGAUGACGGUACCGGAAGAAGAAGCACCGGCUAACUACGUGCCAGCAGCCGCGGUAAUACGUAGGGUGCGAGCGUUAAUCGGAAUUACUGGGCGUAAAGCGUGCGCAGGCGGUUUUGUAAGACAGGUGUGAAAUCCCCGGGCUUAACCUGGGAACUGCGCUUGUGACUGCAAGACUUGAGUGCGGCAGAGGGGGGUGGAAUUCCACG